RNAcentral lists this ribosomal RNA (253 nucleotides) under uncultured bacterium. RNAcentral describes it as "partial 16S ribosomal RNA". It matches the Rfam family "Bacterial small subunit ribosomal RNA", at positions 524 to 776 of the family's 1533-position model. The record is from RNAcentral.
UACGAAGGGGGCUAGCGUUGUUCGGAAUUACUGGGCGUAAAGCGCGUGUAGGCGGGCCGUUAAGUCGGGGGUGAAAGCCCAGAGCUCAACUCUGGAACUGCCUUCGAUACUGGCGGCCUGGAGCAUGAUAGAGGCGAGUGGAAUUGCGAGUGUAGAGGUGAAAUUCGUAGAUAUUCGCAGGAACACCAGUGGCGAAGGCGUCUCGCUGGUUCAUUGCUGACGCUGAGUCGCGAAAGCGUGGGGAGCAAACAGG